UACGUAGGUCCCGAGCGUUGUCCGGAUUUACUGGGCGUAAAGGGAGCGUAGGCGGACUUUUAAGUGAGAUGUGAAAUACUCGGGCUCAACUUGAGUGCUGCAUUUCAAACUGGAAGUCUAGAGUGCAGGAGAGGAGAAUGGAAUUCCUAGUGUAGCGGUGAAAUGCGUAGAGAUUAGGAAGAACACCGGUGGCGAAGGCGAUUCUCUGGACUGUAACUGACGCUGAGGCUCGAAAGCGUGGGGAGCAAACAGG
RNAcentral lists this ribosomal RNA (253 nucleotides) under uncultured bacterium. Its description in RNAcentral is "partial 16S ribosomal RNA". It matches the Rfam family "Bacterial small subunit ribosomal RNA", at positions 524 to 776 of the family's 1533-position model. The record is from RNAcentral.